UACGGGGGGGGCAAGCGUUGUUCGGAAUUACUGGGCGUAAAGGGCUCGUAGGCGGCCAACUAAGUCAGACGUGAAAUCCCUCGGCUUAACCGGGGAACUGCGUCUGAUACUGGAUGGCUUGAGGUUGGGAGAGGGAUGCGGAAUUCCAGGUGUAGCGGUGAAAUGCGUAGAUAUCUGGAGGAACACCGGUGGCGAAGGCGGCAUCCUGGACCAACACUGACGCUGAUGCGCGAAAGCCAGGGGAGCAAACGGG
Molecule: ribosomal RNA, 253 nt
Filed under: uncultured bacterium
Lineage: Bacteria
Description: partial 16S ribosomal RNA
Rfam family: Bacterial small subunit ribosomal RNA
Source: RNAcentral